CUCUCUCUCUCUCUCUCUCACACACACACACACAUACACAUCGUUCCUCUAACCCUGAGAGGCUUUCUCUUGUAAAACUCUUAAGACAUUUGACCGAACGAAUCUAAUAGCUCUUGUUCAGAUGUGCAACUUUAAUGUGCGCUUUUGGUGUCCAUUAACGAAUUUUCACUAACGCUCAACCCUUCCCCUCUUCGGGUAUGAUGACUCUAGACCGUCUCUCUCUCUCCCUCUCUCUCUCUCACAUCGUUCCUCUAACCUUGAGAGGCUUUCUCUUGUAAAACUGUUAGACAUUUGACCGAAUGAAUCUAAUAGCUCUUGUUUAGAUGUGCAACUUUAAUGUGCUCUUUUGGUGUCCAUUGAUGAAUUUUCACUAACGCUCAACCCUUCCCAUCUUCGGGUAUGAUGACUCUAGAUUGUCUUCCGCAAUGUAUAUCGUAUAAUAGCUUUAAGAGGAUGAGAGAGUGUGUUAAGCCUUACAAUGGGCUUGCCAUAAUAAUGUGAUUCAACUUCGACUUGGCGAGAAUCGGACUUAAAGCUGCUCUUACAAGUGAAGAUGAAUACAACUAGACUGUAGUGCUAAGUGAUGCUUUACCAUUAAACGUGUACAACAUAUUUACAUAAAAUAAGUAGUAAUUGUUGAUAGCUUUACCAUUUACACCAAUAUUGUACAAAUAAAGAGUUGUUCGAAAUAUAACCGCUCUUAUUUUACAAACGUACUCCCAAAUUGUGGUGCUUUGAACACUAAGCAAUAGUUAAACUAUAUUUACACAACUUGUCUAUGCUGCUUUUCAAUGCCAUUCCACUCUUGAGAUCGAUUCAUUUUUCUCUUAAAAAACCAAUUCUUUCAUUACUAAUCAAUAUAGCUUAUAAAUGUCAGUUACAAACAUUCUCAAAAUAAAAAACUUCUCGAUUUACCAAUAAGCAGAAAUAAUUAAACUGAGAAGCUACAAAUAUGUAAUACGAUUCCGAUAUGGCGUAAUCAUCAAGAAUCAGAGUAAAAUCGAGUUGGGUCAUAGACUUUUGGAAGAACCUAGAUUAUAAUAUUAGUAAAAUCGAUAUUGUGAAAUUAUGAAAUUGUGAAAUUGUGAAAAUGUGAUAUUGUGAAAUUGUGAAUAUGUCUUAUGGUGAAAUUGUGAAAAUUGUGAAAUUUGUGAAUAUGACAUGUGAAAAUUGUAGUUAAUAUGUGAAAUUGUAGGAAAAUAGAGAAAUUUGAAUAAUUGUAGAAAUAUGUGAGAAUUGUAAUAAAUUUCUGACAAUUGUAGGAAAUAUGUGAAAUUUGUAGGAAAAUAGAAAAAAUGUAAAAAUUGAAGAGAUAUGUGAAAAUUGUAAAAAAUAUGUGAAAUUUGUUGAAAAUUUGUAAAAAUUGUAGAAAUAUGUGAAACUUUGUGAAAUAUUACGAAAAUAGGAAAGAAAUUAAAUUUGUAAGAAAGAAAUUAAAUUCAUAGGAACAAAAUUAAAAUUUGUAGGAGAGAAAUUAAAUUUGUAGUAAGGAAAUUAAAUUUGUAGGAAAAAUAAAUAAAAUUGUAGGGACGAAAUUAAAUUUGUGUGACGAAAUUUAUUGUGUUAUUUUUUCAUAGAUAUCAUUGUGGUUGAUCAAUAGUGGUUGCCACUCUGCCUCCACUUCGGGCCAAAGUGACCCGGGGGUAGAGAUACCGAGUAGAACCCAGGCGGCCAUUGUCGAGUCGUCGGCAUGCCCCAAUACAACUGCUACAUUGGGUCGGGUGCCUCGAUCUGCCAGGCAUGUUCAUAGUUAGAGACGGCACGAGCCUCGUGCCAGCCCCACCUCACCUUGUUGAAACUGAGGAGGCCGAUGCCGAUUCGGUAGCUAUGCGCCCGAAAGGAGACGGAGAACUCGCAACUGGGAAGAAGACCAAAGUGUGGGGGAUGAAAUUUGACCUCCAACCGGAUCAUUGGCUUUUAGCAUAACCAGAUCGUAAUCGAUUACAACCACUCAAUUGGCAAGCGAACCUGAAAGGCAACAGCUUGUUGACUCACGACAUGAGUACCAUCGUCUGCACCAAGUGUCCCAUGCUUACUUCUUCAUGGAAGAAGCAAUCCCCAGGUGCAUGACGAUAUGAUGAGAGAGAUUUCGGUAUGUAUGGAGUUUUUUUUAAUUUAAUAUUUUGUAUUUUUAUUUAUUAAAUGCAUUUUUUAAGCUAACACACUUUUUUUUUGUUUAUUUCAGACCAAUGUAUCCAUCGACAUGCACCACCUGGGUACGAAAGAGUACAUACACCGGGUGUGGGCUAAGCGGUACAAGGAGUGGAAGUAUGAGAUGCACUUGUACUACAAUACUUAUGCAUUUCCUGUUGAAGCUUCUAUCGAUCACCCCCAGAGUUUGUGAAGAGGAUUGCCAAGUGGGAGUGGUUAUGUGGUCAUUUUCAGAGCCUGAUAUUUUUGUUGAUGAUGGACGGGGUUGGGUGAAGAAAAGGCAAAACGGCCUAGGAGCGGGUUGGAUCGGGUUCGAGAUCUCGGAAAGUCUUCUUCAUCUAGUUGUCUGACUACGUGCAAGGUGUCUUCCAGACUAUAGUAGUUGGAGAUGGAGCUAGCAGUCGUGCCAACGAGGAUAAGAAGCUAAAGAAGAAGCGUGCCAACGAGAAUAAGUUGUGUGCCAUCAAGAAAAAGCUCGGGAGGCAGUCAUGCACUAACGAGAUGAGGGCCUUCUGCUUACAUUGAUGGGAUAGCCCAAACAAUGUCAGCCUCUUGCAUUUGCCUUCUUAAUCCUUCGAGUGACCUUCAGCCACCAUCCCACCAGCCACCCAGUAGUCAUACUUAGUUUAGUAUUUUACAUAUAAUUGUAUGAAUAUUUUAUUUAUAAUAAUCUAAAAUUUUAAAAUAAAUCAAAAUAUUAAAGAAUAGAAUAAAUAAUAUUUAAUUUAAA
This is a long non-coding RNA of Pyrus x bretschneideri (Chinese white pear), 2881 nucleotides long. RefSeq lists it as uncharacterized. The transcript is spliced from 2 exons. NCBI's taxonomy places the organism in Eukaryota, Viridiplantae, Streptophyta, Magnoliopsida, Rosales, Rosaceae. The record is from RefSeq and is a predicted model, not a curated record.